AGUGCAUUGGUGCCUUCGGGAACUGUGAGACAGGUGCUGCAUGGCUGUCGUCAGCUCGUGUUGUGAAAUGUUGGGUUAAGUCCCGCAACGAGCGCAACCCUUAUCCUUUGUUGCCAGCGGUUCGGCCGGGAACUCAAAGGAGACUGCCAGUGAUAAACUGGAGGAAGGUGGGGAUGACGUCAAGUCAUCAUGGCCCUUACGACCAGGGCUACACACGUGCUACAAUGGCGCAUACAAAGAGAAGCAAUCUCGCGAGAGCUAGCGGACCUCAUAAAGUGCGUCGUAGUCCGGAUUGGAGUCUGCAACUCGACUCCAUGAAGUCGGAAUCGCUAGUAAUCGUGAAUCAGAAUGUCACGGUGAAUACGUUCCCGGGUUG
RNAcentral lists this ribosomal RNA (376 nucleotides) under Atlantibacter hermannii. RNAcentral describes it as "bacterial SSU rRNA". It matches the Rfam family "Bacterial small subunit ribosomal RNA", at positions 1005 to 1378 of the family's 1533-position model. The record is from RNAcentral. Lineage: Bacteria; Pseudomonadati; Pseudomonadota; Gammaproteobacteria; Enterobacterales; Enterobacteriaceae.